This is an RNA transcript of Nasonia vitripennis (jewel wasp), 1467 nucleotides long. RefSeq lists it as uncharacterized. NCBI's taxonomy places the organism in Eukaryota, Metazoa, Arthropoda, Insecta, Hymenoptera, Pteromalidae. The transcript has 9 exons. The record is from RefSeq and is a predicted model, not a curated record.
AUUUCAUUGUAAACUUCAGAGCAGUAAUAACAAAAAAUGAGUUUUUUUUUUAAAUUGCAUUUACGAUCUAACCUGCAGAAAUGUUUAACAGAGCAUGACGCGAAAAUUGCAAAUCAAUGAAACAUUUUGAAUCAAAGAGAUGCAGAUGAACAAUUUAAAAAUAAUUAACGAAGAUGGGGAUGUUCCUGCUGUAAGUCCAUUGCCUUCUAAUAAAGCAACAGCGAAACCAAUCAUCUCUCCUGAAGAUGUAAUUGAAACAGUGUGUGAACAUCAAGAUUACACUGAGCAUAUGACCCAAAGAUCGCGUAGAAAUAUAGGACAACUAGCCACCUCAACUCCGUUAGCCCGGAGAUCAAUUUUCCGCCCGAAAUCUCCGACGGAUCGACCAUUCAAAUGUCCCAAACUAAAUAGAUGCAAGUUGUAUCAGUGGCGUGCAAUAGAUUCCAUUCGAAAGACAAAAUCUUCUGAAGUACCCGCAAAGCAUCACCUUGUAGAUAACAACUGGCAGUCAAGAACAGAAACUGCCUCGACACCACAUCUCGUUGACAACGAUGAAAAAAGUGGGAGUAUAAACGAGGAAAAACUGAAGCAUGAACGACAGCAGAGAACCCGUUUAAAUCGUUCUGCCAUAUGUUUUGAUAAUAUAAGAUGGAUCUGCGCAUUCUUAAACAGUGUCAUUUUGAUUUUAAGUGUCCUGUACUUUGGAAGUGCACUGGCUUUCACUUUCUCAGAGAAUAUUUUAUUACUAGUUAUGAAAAACAAAGUGUACAUCUCUUUGGUAGCUUCAUUCUACAUAGUUUCAUUUCUUUUGUGGAUGAUAGCGAUCAGCGGUUUUUAUGUUUUAUGGAAAAUAUCUCGAAAAAUCAAAAUGCAUGCUUGUUUAACAUUGGCAUUUGGUAUACUGAUUCUAUCAACGAUAUUUUUUCAAAAUUCAACUCAGCAAAGCAUCGAGUCUGACGUUGAAACGCAGAUGCGCUCUUCAUUGAAAUCUGAUAAUGAAGAUUUUGGUAAAGACGUUCAAAUGUUGUGGCGUUACUGGCUUUUUGGACUGGUGCCAUCGAGAGAAUUCCAAAAUCAACGAGACACAAACAGAAAGCUUCUUAGGAACUUAUUUUUGUUCUAUACCAAGUUCUUGCUGUGCGCGUUAUAUCAAUGAGUACAAGAAUUCUCAUGAAAACAAGUUGGAAUCUUGCACUGAGCUAUUGGAAAUGGGAAGAAUCCGCAACACAGGUUGCGUCGACGCCGUAAAAAAAGAAAUUUAUCACUUAGGAAAAAUGUAUAAAAUAAUAACAGGUGGAGCCAGUGGAACAUUGGUACUUUUAUCGAUCAUGUCAGUAGCACUCUUUUCUCGCUUAAUAAGGUGACAGUCGUCAGCUGAAUUAACUUUUAAAUAAAACCUGCGAAUGCAAAAUGUGAAUUGUUGUAUUUCGAUUUAUUAUUAAAUGUGCCUACAUGAUACAAAUCAAA